Molecule: non-coding RNA, 28 nt
Filed under: Mus musculus (house mouse)
Lineage: Eukaryota; Metazoa; Chordata; Mammalia; Rodentia; Muridae
Source: RNAcentral
UGUGAUUAAGUGUUACCGGCAUCAGUGA